This is a long non-coding RNA of Myotis daubentonii (Daubenton's bat), 2865 nucleotides long. RefSeq lists it as uncharacterized. Lineage: Eukaryota; Metazoa; Chordata; Mammalia; Chiroptera; Vespertilionidae. The record is from RefSeq and is a predicted model, not a curated record.
ACGAAGGGGCUUGGGCCUGGGGGUGCAGGGUGGGGGAAGAUAACCAGGGUCCGAAGAGGAGAAGGCGGGACCCCUGGCCUGUGGAGAUUGAACCUCCGUUCCAGGCCAGGGCCAUGGCUGAGCAGCUGGGAGGAGAGGCAGCCCCACUGCUGCUGAGAAGAGUGGUGACCAUAACCUGGGCUUGUCUCUUGACUGCAACACAAAUUGCUGGGGAAGCUUAGGUGACUCACCUGCCCAUGACUCAAUUCCCUCGUCUGUACUCGGAGCUAAUAUAUUCCUUAGUUCAUACGCCUGUUGCUGAGGAUCAAAGGAGAUGGAUUUACCCAGUGCCUGGCAUGGGGGUGGGGUGGGGGGCGGGGGGCUGUUCUGCUUAUUGCUGUUACUUGAAUUUUCCAUCCUGCCUCCUAGGGGUCUUGUACCUGGAAAGAAGAUAAGCUUUGGGUCAGACAGACUUAAAUUCCUGCCUGGCCACAUAGCAAGCAUAAGGCUUUGGGCAGAAGGCCUCUUGUCUUCUGAGCCCCACUUUUCUGACCUGUAAGAUGGAGACACCCGUGUUCUACUCCAGGGGCCGAUGUGUCAUCCAGGCAGGAUUGGCUUAUCUGUGUCCCCAUCCAGCCCGUGGAUAAUGACGAAGGGUGUGGCCCGCCCUGGUUCUCAGUGAGGUUCUUGGGAUUUCGUAGUGAGGGAUCCAGGCCAGCCCUGCCCUGCUGGGGUUCAUGACGAGCAGAAAUAGCUCAGUUGCAUAACAGUUAGGAGUGCCUGCUGGUUAUGAUGGGGGUGUCCAGGGCAAUGGCAUGUAGUAGGUGACCCGAGCCUCAGAGCGGUGGGUGGGACAUGAAGGAUGUGGGAGAAUCCACCAGGCUGGCAGGGGGAGAGUGGUCUGACAGGGGAGAUGCCCUCCUGGAUGGUCUGGAGAAAGGCGGGUGGCUGGGAGCCAGGGCGAGAGGUGGAAGCCACGGUGGGGGAGCUGGGUGCCUGCUCGGGGGGCCUUGUCCCUCAGGGCAAGCCUUGGCAGGGAUUUAGGUGGAGGGUGUAUGAGGCCCGGAGGUAAGUGUUGAUCCUGUGACAGGAAGAGGCCAGGCCACUGCUGUUGUCCAGGUGAGCGAGGAUGGGGGCCCUGACCAUGGGGCUGAGGGGAGGGGACAAUUUAGAGAGAUUCAAGGGGAAGAAAGGCCCGGGCUUGCUGAUGGCUGGGAGGUGAGGGAGGAAGGGGGAGGCAGCGCAGGCUCCCGGGGCCUCAGCUUGGGCUGUGGGGUGGUGGGUAGUGGGACUUUGCCCUGAGCCACGGGCACUGGAGGCACAGGUUUGGGGAAAGAAGCCAAGAGGUUGCUUCGGGGGCUUGUGGAGUCCCAGGGUGGAGGUGUUCCGGGGACAGAGGCUCCGAGGGUGUGGCGCUCAGGAUGGAGGCCCCCUCGGAGGGCACUGGUCCUUCGGGGUGCUCGGCGCCUGCAGCCAGGUUUGGGAGCACAGAGGGAGAGGGCAAGAGACGGGCCGCACCUUGAAAGGAAGUGGGGGGUGGGGGCCAAGGAGGAGAGUCAGCAAGUGGCUGUAGACCAGGACUGGGGACUAGGAGGGGCCAGCUGUGUGGCUGAGGAAGGGCAACCAGGUGUAGACAGCCCCUUCUAGCCCAACCUUUGAGGACGGCUACUCCUGCCUGCCAGGCAGCCUGUCCCCCGGCUCCUGGUGGCCCCUGAAGCCCACCCACGGUGUCUCCCGGGCAGGGAGAGGAGCUGGCCCCUUUCUGCUCACUGACCAGCUCUGGACAGCAGGGGCUUCCACUCCCAUCUUGACCAGAACCCAGUCUCCCUCGUCACCUAGGUACCAUGGCCUGGGAGUUAGGGGAGGGGCCCUCAAGGCAGUUUCAGGCCCUUGGUCCAUUCAGGGUCCUGAUUGCCAUCCAGAUGUUGGCUUCUCCCACAACCGCAGCCUCUCCUAGGUGCCCCAUCCCCCCCCACCCCGCCCUCAACACCAGUCUGUUCAGAGACAUUGACUAUCAGGCAGAGGGAAGAGGGUGUGACCUCUCCCUGUAGCCACGGACGCAGCACUUGAGCUGGAUGCGACCUUGGAGACCAGCUAGUUCACCUCUCGUUUUAGCAACAGGGAACACUGAUGCCAGGGGAGAGGGCUUGUCUUGUCCAAGGUCACUAGCUGGUUCAGUCUCAGAAGGGCAGCCUUAUCACCACCUUACUUCGACAUUAAAAUGCUUCUGGAGGGCCCUGCUGUGUCCUGCCCGGGGCCCCGGGUCGGUGGUGGUGGGCAGGGCUGCUCUGAGGCAGCCACCGGCCAGAGGAGAGGAGCUCUCAGGCUGAGAUGGGAGCCCUGCCCUCAGGGUGCUCCGAGGAGGAUCCAUUCAUUGAUCCGGUAAAUACUGAUGAGCGCUCACCUUGGGUCUGCUGAGGCGCUAGGAUGCGGGAUGUGGUCUGAGGGGACAGACAAGCUUGCUGCUCUCAGAAUCUUACCAUGAAUCAGAGAAUUCAGACGGGGAGUCAGACAGGCUGGUGUGAUUGCCUUUACGUCGGGAGUGGUGGGGCUGCCUACGGAAAAAACUGAUCAAAAAGGUCUCCCUGAAGAGGGGAUGUUGGGGACCUUCGAGCUCAGACCUGAAGGGCGAGAAGCGGGCAGCCACGUGAAGUGAGAGAAGGGGCUCCCGGCAGAAGGAACAGCAAGCGCAGCCUGGCUGCUGGGGUGGCUCAGUGGUUUUACCCGACCUAUGAACCAGGAGAUCACGGUUCGAUUCCCAGUCAGGCCACAUGCCCUGGUUGCGGGCUUGAUCCCCAGGAGGGGGCCUGCAGGAGGCAGCUGGUCAAUGAUUCUUUCUCAUCAUUGAUGUUUCUAUCUCUCUCCCUCUCCCUCUUUUUUUUUUUU